CAGCUGUCCUGGAAUCCAUUCUAUAGACCAGGCUGACCUUGAACUUGCAGAGAUCCUCCCACUUCUGCCUCUGAGAGCUAUAAUCAAAGUGAAGACACCUUGUGUGACAACGAUCUGUUGACACUUGAUCUGAGGUUUGACAUGGGGUCUGUCUCAGAAAGUGCUCUACCUGUGCUCAAGAAGAACAUGAAGCAGGAGCGGUGGAGCUCACUCUGCUGCGAGGUGCUGUGCUCGUCUUCUUUCCUUGCUUCUCCACUCUCUGGAUGCUCUACCAUGGCACCACUGGAAUUGGGUGCUGACAUCUCCAGCUGCUGUCGUUGGUCAAUGCAUCCCUCUCUGCAAACCUGUCAAUAUGUACUUCAGAUGUCUGCACGGUUCAUUGAGCCUCAGCAAGAGCCCAAGGUCAGCCCUGUGGGUUAGGUGUCACCUGACUUCAGCUGUCCUGCAGAAUGACAGAGGGAUGGGACAGCCAGACCGCCAGAGGAAGUGCCACUCCAAGCUGCACCCCCACUGCCUGCAGCUGCCUACGGCUCUUCUCCUCGUGCCCAGAUGCUACUCUGUGGAUUUCUAGUCCCGUUGUUAAUUCAGAAACUACUUAAUUCUGAUUAAUUGCCUGGUGAAAAUAAAAAUG
Long non-coding RNA from Mus musculus (house mouse), 631 nucleotides. RefSeq annotates it as predicted gene, 34770. NCBI's taxonomy places the organism in Eukaryota, Metazoa, Chordata, Mammalia, Rodentia, Muridae. The transcript is spliced from 4 exons. The record is from RefSeq and is a predicted model, not a curated record.